Non-coding RNA from Trichonephila clavipes, 73 nucleotides. Lineage: Eukaryota; Metazoa; Arthropoda; Arachnida; Araneae; Nephilidae. The record is from the annotation of a GenBank genome assembly.
GUUCCUGUAGCGCAAUGGGUAGCGCGUUGGACUUCUACUGCAAAGGUCGUGGGUUCGAGUCUCACCUGGAAUG